UUCUGCUCUUAAAGUUAGCUUUGCCUUUAAAUGCUUUUUUUGACCUGUCCCAGAGCACUUGCUGGAGGCUUGUAGAAUUGGCAAUACUCAAACCAAGCAUCUAGAAGUCAUGGGCUUCAAAAAAGCACCAGAAAUAUUCUUCAUCUUUAACACCAGUGCAACCAGCAACAAGGAUUGAGAGGCACUAUUUGGCUAAUUCCUCAUGUCUCAAAGCGGAGGGUAUUUUCCCUGAGUUGGGACUGGAGAAAGAAAAUGAAUAGGUGGUUCAAUAGAAAGAUGUUUUCAGUUCAGCAUCAGUCACUACUGCUCCCUGCCCUCCCCAUUGAAGAAGUGACACCUUACCCUCUGGAGUCCUGCUUUUUGAGACGUGGUAGAGAUGGAGAUUACAGAGCUGACUGAAACCUGAGUGUGGAUGUGGGGGAGAAGAAAGGCUGAACAGUCACAAGACUGCUGCAUCCUAUGGCAGAGAAUAUAUGUGCAAAGCAGGGAGAGGCUGGUGGCAGAGAAGGACAAGAGCCCUCAUGUUUGUGUAUAGAUCAGCAUCGUUGUGCCAUCUGGUAUCAUGAUGACCCCAGCUUUCGUGCAGAAAGCAUCUACUUUCAAAGCAGUUGGCAAUGGCCCUCAUACCCCAGGAAUGACUAGUUAAUCUCUCAAAUGACCCUGAUGAGAUACUGGAAUUAACUUCUCACCUGUUAGAGGUCAUAAAUUCAUAAAUGUUUAGUUUCAUAUUAAAAUACAGGGUCUCCUUUACAGUUAGCUACAUGCAUUUUUUACUAUCACACAUAAGCAUACGCAUACAGUUACACAAAGAAACCAAGGAAUAUUUUACCUUUAUAAGGAAAAGAAUUGCAGAGGUCUGAUGGAGCAGGAAGAGUCCCCUUUAGUGUGGGGAUUAUGCCUGGCCCCUCCCUGGCUCCUGUCAUAUGUAGAUAUGCAGGCAGAUAGCUCAAAGAAUCAUUAUUCCCCGUCUGUCCUCUGCCUUGUGAUUCCCCACUAUUACCUCUCAUUCUGUGCUAGCAAAAUCACUGUGUAUCUAAGCACAACUAGACCAGGAGGAUGGAGUGGGAGGGCAGAGAUUCACAACAUUUUUAUUUUUUUCUUGCCAUGUUAGUUGUUGUCCAUACCACCUGUACAGUGGUUUAUUGCACACUGAAUGGGUGCAGGUGCAGUAGAAGAGAGAAAAAUUGGUAACAAGAAACUGAAUGUGAAGGUGCAUCUUGCUAGCACAUUUCUGGCUGAAAGUGGCCGUGAAAGCUAUGGCCUUUGAGUGAGUAAUAUAUUGUUUCAGGAACAUGCAUAUAAUUCCACUUUCCGAACUAAGUUUAUGGGAAGAGGGAGGAGGAGAGU
Molecule: long non-coding RNA, 1347 nt
Organism: Anas platyrhynchos (mallard)
Lineage: Eukaryota; Metazoa; Chordata; Aves; Anseriformes; Anatidae
Source: RefSeq, a predicted model, not a curated record